Molecule: ribosomal RNA, 252 nt
Filed under: uncultured bacterium
Lineage: Bacteria
Description: partial 16S ribosomal RNA
Rfam family: Bacterial small subunit ribosomal RNA
Source: RNAcentral
CGGGGUGAGUAACGCGUGGAUAACCUGCCUUACACUGGGGGAUAACACUUAGAAAUAGGUGCUAAUACCGCAUAAGCGCACAGAGCCGCAUGGCUCAGUGUGAAAAACUUCGGUGGUGUAAGAUGGAUCCGCGUCUGAUUAGCUGGUUGGCGGGGUAGAAGCCCACCAAGGCGACGAUCAGUAGCCGGCCUGAGAGGGUGAACGGCCACAUUGGGACUGAGACACGGCCCAAACUCCUACGGAAGGCAGCAG